This 440-nucleotide ribosomal RNA is filed under the name uncultured bacterium. RNAcentral describes it as "partial 16S ribosomal RNA". It matches the Rfam family "Bacterial small subunit ribosomal RNA", at positions 338 to 795 of the family's 1533-position model. The record is from RNAcentral.
CCUACGGGUGGCAGCAGUGGGGAAUAUUGCACAAUGGGGGAAACCCUGAUGCAGCGACGCCGUGUGAGUGAAGAAGUAAUUCGUUAUGUAAAGCUCUAUCAGCAGGGAAGAAAAUGACGGUACCUGAGUAAGAAGCCCCGGCUAACUACGUGCCAGCAGCCGCGGUAAUACGUAGGGGGCAAGCGUUAUCCGGAUUUACUGGGUGUAAAGGGAGCGUAGACGGCAGUGCAAGUCUGGAGUGAAAGGCGGGGGCUCAACCGCGGAACUGCAUUUGAAACUGUUUUUCUUGAGUACCGGAGAGGUCAUCGGAAUUCCUUGUGUAGCGGUGAAAUGCGUAGAUAUAAGGAAGAACACCAGUGGCGAAGGCGGAUGACUGGACGGCAACUGACGGUGAGGCGCGAAAGCGUGGGGAGCAAACAGGAUUAGAUACCCGGGUAGUC